Molecule: small RNA, 114 nt
Filed under: human gut metagenome
Also listed under: 1 other name
Description: Ribosomal protein L10 leader
Rfam family: Ribosomal protein L10 leader
About the family: This family is a putative r-protein leader autoregulatory structure found in B. subtilis and other low-GC Gram-positive bacteria. It is located in the 5' untranslated regions of mRNAs encoding ribosomal proteins L10 and L12 (rplJ-rplL).
Source: RNAcentral
GAUGACUGCCGAAGACAGCAGGUGCCGUAAGGCAUAAGGAGAAAACGCCUGCCGAGGAGUAUAAGAUUCUAAGGAAGAAUUUGACUACCCCUCUGUGCGCAGAGGGGUUUUUAU